This 163-nucleotide ribosomal RNA is filed under the name Metashangrilaia forrestii. RNAcentral describes it as "5.8S ribosomal RNA". It matches the Rfam family "5.8S ribosomal RNA". Rfam says of the family: 5.8S ribosomal RNA (5.8S rRNA) is a component of the large subunit of the eukaryotic ribosome. It is transcribed by RNA polymerase I as part of the 45S precursor that also contains 18S and 28S rRNA. The record is from RNAcentral. Lineage: Eukaryota; Viridiplantae; Streptophyta; Magnoliopsida; Brassicales; Brassicaceae.
AAAACGACUCUCGGCAACGGAUAUCUCGGCUCUCGCAUCGAUGAAGAACGUAGCGAAAUGCGAUACUUGGUGUGAAUUGCAGAAUCCCGUGAACCAUCGAGUCUUUGAACGCAAGUUGCGCCCCAAGCCUUCGGGCCGAGGGCACGUCUGCCUGGGUGUCACA